This is a non-coding RNA of Punica granatum (pomegranate), 3706 nucleotides long. The record is from RefSeq and is a predicted model, not a curated record. NCBI's taxonomy places the organism in Eukaryota, Viridiplantae, Streptophyta, Magnoliopsida, Myrtales, Lythraceae.
AAUCGGUCUUUCAUCUUCCCUGUUUAGUCGUCAUUUCCUCCCCUUUUCUCUCAGUCAGAUCGAAAAGCAAGCAAGAGCGUCUUUCUUCCCCUAUUUUUUUUUUCAAAAAAAAAAAAAAAACUUUUGCUUAUUGGAAUAGAUUAUCGCAACUUUUGUCUCGAUUUUCCUUCCAUGUCGAUGUUUCAUCGGAUCAAAUGCUGCGGGGAGAUGAGAUUUUCCGGUAGGAAUUGGUUUCUGGCAGUUUCCUUUCCCUUAGCUUCUCCUUGAAAACUCUUUUCAAGAAUAGUAUUCUUUUUCUUAUAAUAUUACUCAUGGCCGAUUCGGUACGGUGCGAUUUGUUCAGUUGUGUAAAUUUGAGCUAUGCUCCUUUCCUUGAUGUCAUUCAUAUGUACUCUAUCUUUACUGUUCGUUAUUCGACAUAAGUUUUUUUUUUCUUCUUUUAAAUUUUUCCUCGAAAACGCGGAAGAUUAAACGGUUAAUGGGACGUGGUAGCUAGUUUUGAAUAUUAUCGUACAACUGUUCUUCUGGUCAUGAAUUUUGUCUCUUCCCCAUUAGGUUCCCCGAACGGUCUGAUAAUCAGCUCUUUUCUGCACAAUAUAAGAGCUGACAGCCAUGGUUUCCUUCGAAGCCAUAUGCGGCAAUGACCAUUCUUGGUUUCCUCCCACCCCUCUUCCUCCCCUCCCCCCUGUGUCGAUUGACAGUUGUUGUUUGCGGGAGUAGCAUCAUCAAGAUUCACAUGCUGAAUCUGCUGGGAGGUGAUCUGACAUCCAUGCCGGUUCCUGGGAGUGAGAAUCUUGAUGAUGCUGCAUCGGCAAUAAAUAACUAUAAAGAAACCGAUUACCAAGCAAGGGACGUUCGGCCCGAGCUAUAGCCAACUGAGUACCCAUGAGAGGGAUCCAAUCCCGACCACAUAGUACUCCCUCAGACGCCUCCUCGAAGCUCCACUUUUAAUUUGCCUGGGAAUUAAACGAGCUUAGCCCAAGUCGAUGUGCGGCUUGUGAGGCGGUUCGAUCGUAAUGCUGGGUGUGAGUCUCAUGGAUCCCAGCACCAUAUUGUUGGAAUAGUAAACACCAGCAGCCACGCACGGGGCGGAAGAAUCAGGUAAGAUUUAUAGAACGUCACAUUUGAUAACACAUAUCCAUGGAUAUUAUACAGUUAUCAUCAUAGUUUUAAUGGCUAUAAUUUUAUGGGCAUCUCAAUACAUUUCGUUGAGCGUAUGAAGCUUAGCAUUGAUGAGACUGACUCUUCUUUUAGACUACCUGAAUGUGCAAAAUCAAAUGUGAGAACAACAUAUAAAUAAAUGUGUCCCAUAUCAUCUAUCACUCAUAUGAUAUUGUUAGGGUGGACCAACUCCAACUGCAUCUAGAAAGACAUCAAGAAAAUACAUAUGGGCUCUCCAGCCUCCUGCAGCUAGUGCAGAAUGUCUUCUCAAACAUGGAUUGCAAUUAAUCUUUUCGGGCGUAAAAGAAAUGCUUUUUUCAUUGAAAAUAUCUUAAAGUGAUGGGCGUUUACAUAUCUGAGAUAUAUAGUUUGUGCCUUCCAUCGCUGUCGGUCUAAGAGCUUUUGGUCAUACAUAAUAUAAUGUGCUGAUAAUACUUCUCGGCCGGUCAACUUUGACUUGCCCUUAGAAGAUUACCAAUGUGUGCCAGCUGAAAAACAUUAGUACAAAUGUAUGAGCUGUUUGCAGUAUAACUUUGGUGUCUGAGUUUCAAAAUUACUGUAAGCAGUUGAUUCCCAUUUGGGAUUGUUUUCUAAUUUAUAUCGAACAGUCUUUCUUAACUUAAAAAUUAUAAACUUCUUAUAUAUACUGAAGGAUCGUGGUCAGUUUGGUAGAAAGUGAGAUCAAAACAACAAUCAUUCCAAUAAAAUGUGGAUCCAAACAGCUGAUCAUGUACAAAGAACAACUAACGACAUACGUUUAUAUCGUUCUUGUGUGUGCUACUUCUCUGUAAUUUUAAGAUCAGACUCUCCAAAGCAUACUAUACUCUUCGAAUGAAAAUUUUAGUAAUGAAGCAACUUUUCCACAGGCCAUAUCUCCUUGAUCUGCCAUAUUAUACUCUUCAAUUUAUAUCUAAUUAAGGAAUUUCCCUCACGAAGUUUAUCACCAAGUAAUCUGCCCCAAGAUAUAUUGUUUUCAAUCAAUGUACAUGCGUUUUGUGUAAGAUUAAAUUAGACUAAUAUAUCGAGGAUACUUCUUUCUUGUAAGUUCCUUCGUAUCUACCGGAGACUUUCGGGAUACUUCAGUCUGGACCUUGAGAUAUUUUCUAACUCUUGAGAUCUCGAAUAUCAUAUGAUAUCUACCUACUAAAACUGACCCUUGAGGUAUCUAGCCCAUCAAUAUCGAAGAAGAUAUUUCUGCUAGUAACUGGUCAAAGGGACAUUAAUAUCACCCUUGGAAUAUAUAUUCCAUCUGUAUAUACUAGAAAUUUACCCGUGCAUAUCACGGUGCCUAACCCGCGAGUACUGCGCUUCAACUAUAAAUGGUUUUUUUCCAAUAUGCUCAUUGAUAGAUUAAUUUGGAAGAUGAAGGAAAAAAAUUAAGGGUGAGAAAAAUAAAAUAUAAGAAUUGAAAAUAUAACUUGAAAAGAAUUGAAAGUAAUGUGAUAGGAUGUAGGAUUAUGAGGUUGAGAGGAGAGUGAAAUAAGGAGGUUGACACGUGGGAAGAAAGAGAGAGGGAAGAAUAAUGUUAAGUGAACAAAAUUAUUCAAUCCCUCUCUUUUAUUUAAAUUUUAUCAUUUUUAAACUAAGAAUAUGAAGGUAUUUUUUUUUUCAAAUUUUCAAGCAUAUCCUAUAAGGUGAUAGUUACAAAAUCUAAAUUCGCUUAAGUAAAAGUAUAAAAGAUAUAUAAGAUAAGAUGUGUGUGUGUGUGACUAACUAUAGCUGAAGAUGAACUGGUCUAGUUAUACUCUUCAGUCUUGAUCUGCACCGUGAUAUCGCAAUCCCAAGAUGCUGCAAAAUAAGGUCCACACAUGCAUGUGUAUAUGUAUAUAUCUCCAGCACAUUCAUUAUACUUGCUUGUAAGAUCAUGAUGCGCUUGGUACUAUCUCUCAGCUACAAUGAUUGUAGGGUCUCUCUUCCUUUACCAGAAAAGAUAUUAUCCAGACUCCAUUUUUCUCCUUCUUCUGGCAUCCGCGUUUUAGUAUAUAUCACGAUGAUGACAUAUAUGGGUCGGAUUUCAAUCGAUGCUUGUAUCUGUAUAUGUCUUGGAGUUAGAUGAAAGCAAUUGCUAUAUAUUUUCCUUUUGACUCGACAUGUGGCAAAUGGCCUGCAUCACAUAUAAUAUAUUGAUUACAUGAAUUUAGCAAGUCGGUCGUGUUAGUUAUAUGUUUCGUGUCUGAGUUAAUUAGAUGAUUGCUAAUUCCAUAUUCUAUCCUCCUUCAACAAUUAUCCUUCAUUCACGCAUAUAUGGAAGUUGGAAUCAUGAUCUGCAAGUGGACGUGGCCAUUGGAUCCUCUUACGAUAUGAGGUUAUGACGAGCCAGUGCGCAUUUUAAUUUCUUUAGGAGGUGUGCGCGAAGAGAAGAUUUGAUGGGACUAAAUAUUCAGUGAGUAUUAUUGAUUCAUCUACUAUGUAAGAGUAAUAACCAAUGAAGAUACUUAUAGAUGGGAAUUUGUGGGAUCACUGCGAGACAAACUUACUAUUUAUAUGCAUCCUUAAUAGAUAUUACUCAAUCAAGUAACCGAAUAAUACUCACCUAUUAUUUGCU